UACGGAGGGUGCAAGCGUUACUCGGAAUCACUGGGCGUAAAGAGCGUGUAGGCGGGUUUGUAAGUUUGAAGUGAAAUCCAAUGGCUCAACCAUUGAACUGCUUUGAAAACUGCUUACCUAGAAUAUGGGAGAGGUAGAUGGAAUUUCUGGUGUAGGGGUAAAAUCCGUAGAGAUCAGAAGGAAUACCGAUUGCGAAGGCGAUCUACUGGAACAUUAUUGACGCUGAGACGCGAAAGCGUGGGGAGCAAAC
RNAcentral lists this ribosomal RNA (250 nucleotides) under uncultured bacterium. RNAcentral describes it as "partial 16S ribosomal RNA". It matches the Rfam family "Bacterial small subunit ribosomal RNA", at positions 524 to 773 of the family's 1533-position model. The record is from RNAcentral.